Long non-coding RNA from Etheostoma spectabile (orangethroat darter), 152 nucleotides. RefSeq lists it as uncharacterized. The record is from RefSeq and is a predicted model, not a curated record. The transcript is spliced from 3 exons. NCBI's taxonomy places the organism in Eukaryota, Metazoa, Chordata, Actinopteri, Perciformes, Percidae.
GUUUAGUUUAAUGACACGAGUGUUGGCAUAGUUAGCAUUGCUAAGCCUCUGUCCUGAUUGAAAGGUCCUAAAGCAUCCCUGCUUUAUUGUCUAUUUUAAAAUGAAGGGGAUAAAUCAUUUACUGUAUUGAAGAAGACUUUAAACUAGCAAUU